Molecule: small nuclear RNA, 104 nt
Filed under: Pelusios castaneus (West African mud turtle)
Lineage: Eukaryota; Metazoa; Chordata; Testudines; Pelomedusidae
Source: RNAcentral
UUACAGCUCAGCAGCAUGUAUUUUAAAAUUGGUACAUACAGAGAAGAUUAGCGUGGCCCCUGUGCAAGGCUGACACACAAAUUCAUGAGGCAUUUCCAUCAAGU